This is a long non-coding RNA of Oncorhynchus keta (chum salmon), 361 nucleotides long. RefSeq lists it as uncharacterized. The record is from RefSeq and is a predicted model, not a curated record. Lineage: Eukaryota; Metazoa; Chordata; Actinopteri; Salmoniformes; Salmonidae. The transcript is spliced from 4 exons.
AAGAGAGUGGAGGUCUGAGGGGAGGCUGUUCCUAAACUGGGAGAGGAAAGAGAGUGGAGGUCUGAGGGGAGGCUGUUCCUAAACUGGGAGAGGAAAGAGAGUGGAGGUCUGAGGGGAGGCUGUUCCUAAACUGGGAGAGGAAAGAGAGUGGAGGUCUGAGGGGAGGCUGUUCCUAAACUGGGAGAGGAAAGAGAGUGGAGGUCUGAGGGGAGGCUGUUCCUAAACUGGGAGAGGAAAGAGAGUGGAGGUCUGAGGGGAGGCUGUUCCUAAGCUGGGAGAGGAAAGAGAGUGGAGGUCUGAGGGGAGGCUGUUCCUAAACUGGGAGAGGAAAGAGAGUGGAGGUCUGAGGGGAGGCUGUUCC